UACGUAGGGAGCAAGCGUUGUCCGGAUUUACUGGGUGUAAAGGGCGCGUAGGCGGCUUUGCAAGUCAGAUGUGAAAUCUAUGGGCUCAACCCAUAAACUGCAUUUGAAACUGUAGAGCUUGAGUGAAGUAGAGGCAGGCGGAAUUCCCCGUGUAGCGGUGAAAUGCGUAGAGAUGGGGAGGAACACCAGUGGCGAAGGCGGCCUGCUGGGCUUUAACUGACGCUGAGGCACGAAAGCGUGGGUAGCAAACAGG
Molecule: ribosomal RNA, 253 nt
Filed under: Ruminococcus bromii
Lineage: Bacteria; Bacillati; Bacillota; Clostridia; Eubacteriales; Oscillospiraceae
Description: partial 16S ribosomal RNA
Rfam family: Bacterial small subunit ribosomal RNA
Source: RNAcentral